UACGGAGGGUGCAAGCGUUACUCGGAAUUACUGGGCGUAAAGCGUGCGCAGGCGGCUUUUCAAGUCAGGGGUGAAAGCCCAGAGCUCAACUCUGGAAUUGCCUUUGAGACUGAGAGGCUUGAGUACGGGAGAGGUGAGUGGAAUUCCCAGUGUAGAGGUGAAAUUCGUAGAUAUUGGGAAGAACACCAGUGGCGAAGGCGGCGACCUGGGCCAAUAUUGACGCUGAGGUGCGAAAGCGUGGGGAGCAAACCGG
This 253-nucleotide ribosomal RNA is filed under the name uncultured bacterium. Its description in RNAcentral is "partial 16S ribosomal RNA". It matches the Rfam family "Bacterial small subunit ribosomal RNA", at positions 524 to 776 of the family's 1533-position model. The record is from RNAcentral.